CAGUCAGGGAGCUACAUGAAGAAGACACAGACAGAGCGAGUCAGAGUGCGGGAGAGAGUGUCGAGAGGGCGGCGAGCUCUUCCCCAUUUCCAUGGCGACUCUGGCGGCCAUGCGCACUCUCGGUUCAGGUUUCUGCUCCGUCGUUUCCGCGGUCCUGUGUAUAGAAACAAAAGAGGUCUAAUGGUUUUCCAGUGUCAUUAACCUUCACAAGAUAUUCUGGGAAGUUUUUUUGCUUCAGUUGUUGAUGCUUUGAGACCUAGGCAGAUUUCCAAGGUCCCAAGUUGUAAAGCAUGAUCCGGUGUAAGUGCUUCCGCUGGAUUUGUGUGUUUGUAUGAUUGGUAAUACCGAAUUUAAAGGUUGGUUCCUAGAUCUUUCUUUAUGAUGGAGCAUUUGUGUUGUUCUUGGUGAUAGAAGUGUUCCAGGUGUGAAGAGAAUAACAAGGGAUCGAUCAGAUGUGAAUGGGAUGAAGUGAUUCUGUGAGCAACUACCAGAUUUGCCCCAUGUUCAGGUGCAAAGGGGCCUCAGAUGCAACGGUCAGUGGCGGUCUACGGUGGUGGUGCAGGGCGGUUCGUUGCGGCGGCGGGACAGGCUCCGGCGUGUGGCCGUUGGCGAGCUGCUCGUGUGGAUGCCCCUUGGUCCUCUAGCGGCGACAUGAUGUGGUCUUUCCGGCGCCUCGCGUCGUUGGGCGAGUGUCCGGUUCCUACCAGAUGCAGAUCCAGGCCGGGAGCCGAGGUUGGGCGUUGCAGGGUGCGACGUUGGAGAGGUGACGGGUGUGAUGGGUGGUGCCGAUGCAGUCGGGCUGCCUGUUACCGGCAGGGGUGCAGACAUCGACUUGGUCCGCUCCUGCUUCACCUCUUCUCUGACCUGCUGGCUCCCUGAUUGAUCUGGUCGUUUUGGUCGCUGCGGCCUUGUUGCCGGUCGGUGCAUCUCUUGCAGCCAUGGAGGGUCUAUGGUGUGCCUUGUUACCUGGGCGGCGGCCCGGGUGGUAGGUGCUGCGGUGCUCGUGGGCUGAGCUUGUGGCUCAGGUGCGGGCGGUUAGCGACCAUGGCCGUGUGGGCGGCGUGGUGGCUGGCGUUUUGACGAUCUGUUGUGGUGAAGACGGAGUUUUGCUGCCGGGGUGAAAACCCUGUCUGGCUUGGCCAGGCCGAUGGAGGCGGCGCCAAUGGACGUCGUCAUCUUCCUGAAGUCUCCGUUGUGGUUACUCAUUUUCCUUCGUCAUGCUCCGGAUGAAAAUCUAGAUCUUUGGAUCAGCCGGUGGCGGCGUUUUGUUCUGUCCUUCUUGAAGGCACUGUCUUGGAGCUCUCAGUUCAUCGUCAUUCAACUUCACCUCUUCGCGGGUUCUCCCGGAAGAGCUCCGGUGGCUCUUUAGCGUCUACUUCAUGUCCUUCGGGGUGUUGUUGUUGUAGGCCUUUGGCACCUAUGUAUCCGGCCUAGGGUGAGUGUGUGUUCGUGUGUUGUGUUGUGGGUUGUAUUGAUCGGUUGUUGGUUGUUGCUUUAUAUAUAAAGCCGGACGAAAGCCUUUUUCGGUAA
Long non-coding RNA from Triticum aestivum (bread wheat), 1530 nucleotides. RefSeq lists it as uncharacterized. NCBI's taxonomy places the organism in Eukaryota, Viridiplantae, Streptophyta, Magnoliopsida, Poales, Poaceae. The transcript is spliced from 6 exons. The record is from RefSeq and is a predicted model, not a curated record.